RNAcentral lists this long non-coding RNA (412 nucleotides) under Ananas comosus (pineapple). RNAcentral's name for it is "long non-coding RNA (ACOM_LNC028318)". The record is from RNAcentral. Lineage: Eukaryota; Viridiplantae; Streptophyta; Magnoliopsida; Poales; Bromeliaceae.
GAAAACAUGGUGUUAUUGUGACAAAUGAUUGAAAUAGCACCUUGUGGCAUUGAAUGCUAGUGAUUGAAAUAGCCGGUGAUUUUGGCCCAACAAAUUAUUAUUGCUAGCGGGUCAGUGUCUGAUGAGUCUUGACUGAGUCAGGGUUUGACUGAGUCAGGGUUGGUGAAUGACAGACUAUGUUAGGAUCGAAAUGACAAAUGAUAAAGACUAGUGAGACAAGUCUCACAUCAGGUGAUCUUGGGCUUAAAUGGGGAGAUGUCUAAACAUAAUAACUGAGCUUAAGUAUUUUGGACCAGUAGUUUUGACCCAAUAAGUUAUUAUUGCUAGUGGAUCGUGUCGUUACAAAAUAUUUUGUGGAUUUUAAUCUUCCUCGAAUGUUUGGAAGUUGAAGUUAUAUGUAAAACAUCUUUUU